AAUCGAUUGAAGGGAUCUGGAAUGGAAGUGGGAAGGAAGGAGGCUGGAGCAGUGGUCCAGGUAAAGCUGACAGAGUCAGGACUAAGGUGCGGAUGCCGCUGAUGCAGAUGUGUGUGAUUUCAAGGUAUAAUGACAGACUUGGCUGCAUAUGAGAAGUGAGGGAAAGACAGGAAUCAAGGAGAACUCCAGGUUCCUGGCUCUCUGACCAGAUGGGGCUCAGUGCGGUCACCCAGAAGGAGAACAGAUUUGGGGAGCAGGAGAUGCAGAGUUCCUUUUAGAACAUGAUUCAUUUGAGAUGCCAGGGAGAGAGCUGCAUGAAACGAUGAAAUAAGUCUCCAGAGAAAUGAGCCUGGAGCUUGGGGAAGAGGUUUGAGGUAGAGAUAAAAUGGUAUGAGUCUUUCAAUAUCUAAAUGGCGUUUAAAGCCACAGAACCCCGUGAACGAAUGCUAAUCAAGGAGAGAACGCGGGUGGAAAAGCAAGGAGCUGAAUUCUGCCACCAACUAGUGAGCUUGAAAGAGGAACUUGAGCCUCGGAGGAAAUCACAGCUUUGGCCUACAUCUUGCUUUCAGCCUGAGCCCAAGUCACCACCUUCAGGUUCUAUUAUACAUGUGACAUCGUCUGGCUCCGGACAGAGCAGUGUCUGAAACACACCUUCGCUAGGAGGUAUGGAACAAACAAAAGAAGACAAUUACCAAGUGGGAUAGUGAAUAAAAGAUACAGGAAGUCUACAGAAAGACACAGGAAGAGGAGGCCACACCUAAAUGCUGGCAAGGGAGCAGGCAACAGGGUCAGACGCCAAGCCUCAGACCCCUCCUGGAUACGAACCAUCCCCUGCCUCAUCAGAGCCUGGGAAGAUUUCCUACUCGUGAGGCUAACGAAUCGCUCAGAACACAACCAUCUCAUUAAGCAAUUAGCUCUGGGAGCGCCAAGGCAAGGAAGUGACCUCACUGGCCGCUCGACAAGACACCGCCCUGCCGCUGGGGAGGAAGGUAACAGGGUAAUCAUGACCAUGGUGGGAGGGACAUUGAUGGUGAUGUCAAGUGACGGAAAAGGUGACGGGUGUCAGAUCUCUGUGAUGGUGGAGGAGAUGCUGGGGCUGGGAACUGACUUGAUGGUGGUGCAGGGGAUGGUUGAUGGUGGUGGCAGAUCACAGCGGUGAUGGCAAGGUGACAUUGGUAGUGAUGACUGACAGGGUAGACCCUGUGGCUGGGCUCCCUCAGCCUCCAUCCCAUCCUCCUCAAUGACAGGGAAGUUGGAAAGUUAGCAACGACAUAGCCCUCCCUUGUGGCGUUUACAUGUGGAUUCACUGGGGCAGAAUCUGGAUGGCAGAAGCGAGGCGGAGUCCUUUCCAAGCUUUGGUUUUCUAAUUUCUAAUAAUAGUAGAGCACUGCUGGAGUUCCUGUUGUGGUGCAGCGGAAACGAAUCCGACU
This is a non-coding RNA of Sus scrofa (pig), 1430 nucleotides long. Lineage: Eukaryota; Metazoa; Chordata; Mammalia; Artiodactyla; Suidae. The record is from RefSeq and is a predicted model, not a curated record.